This 424-nucleotide ribosomal RNA is filed under the name uncultured Actinomyces sp. RNAcentral's name for it is "bacterial SSU rRNA". It matches the Rfam family "Bacterial small subunit ribosomal RNA", at positions 355 to 774 of the family's 1533-position model. Lineage: Bacteria; Bacillati; Actinomycetota; Actinomycetes; Actinomycetales; Actinomycetaceae. The record is from RNAcentral.
UGGGGGAUUUUGCACAAUGGGCGCAAGCCUGAUGCAGCGACGCCGCGUGAGGGAUGGAGGCCUUCGGGUUGUGAACCUCUGUCGCCGGUGAUGUAGGCUCUGCUUUGUGGGUGGGGUUGACGGUAGCCGGGGUAUGAAGUGCCGGCUAACUACGUGCCAGCAGCCGCGGUAAUACGUAGGGCGCGAGCGUUGUCCGGAAUUAUUGGGCGUAAAGAGCUCGUAGGCGGCUGGUCGCGUCUGUCGUGAAAUCCUCUGGCUUAACUGGGGGCGUGCGGUGGGUACGGGCCGGCUUGAGUGCGGUAGGGGAGGCUGGAAUUCCUGGUGUAGCGGUGGAAUGCGCAGAUAUCAGGAGGAACACCGGUGGCGAAGGCGGGUCUCUGGGCCGUGUACUGACGCUGAGGAGCGAAAGCGUGGGGAGCGAACA